RNAcentral lists this long non-coding RNA (1309 nucleotides) under Homo sapiens (human). Its description in RNAcentral is "HSALNT0224116". The record is from RNAcentral. Lineage: Eukaryota; Metazoa; Chordata; Mammalia; Primates; Hominidae.
GAAAAGGUAACCUGACACUGGCCCUGCAAAGCCAGGAUAGUGGCUAAGCCCUGGCCUUGUUCUUCCAGCAUUCAUCCCUCAGGGGCACAUCAAAUGGUGCCAGGAAAGACCAGGGCUGCCACUGAGCAGGCUGAGAGGAGACUGGCAGGCAGCAGCAGCAGUGACCUCUUUGUCCUCUGCCUCUGGGGGCCUCAAUGCUCUGCAGAGGCUGUGACAACAGGCAGAAGUGCUUUCCCAUCACCUUUGUCCAUCUUAAAAGAACUCUGGUUGGCCAGUACAGGGAGAAGGGAGAGCAGAAAAGGGUGAUAAAAGAGCCUGCUGCAAGCCGUUCUGUUGAAGACAAUGAAGAAGUGCUGGAAAAGAACUUAGGAGAAGGAACGUUUCUGCAGAGUGAAUACAGGGAUGUAAUCAGCAGGCUUGCCUCUCCACUCUCUUCAGCAUAGAAGAGGGUGAGUCCCAGAAUGAUUUCAUGUUUGCAUCUUAUCAAGGAGGGAAGGAACCAGAAUUAAGGUUCUUUUCCUUAACCAUAGGCUAUUCUGGCUUGGGCACCAUUUCCCUUUUUGGUGACAAAGAGGGGUAGGUGCUCCAAAUGUUUGGGAACUGUCACUACCAACAAGUCUGACCAUCCCCCAAAGUUCUCUUUCUUUUAUGGCUUGCAACCAUCUAUUAUUUUUCUUUUCUUUUCUUUUCUUUUUUCUUUUGAGACAGUCUUACUCUGUUGCCCAGGCUGGAGUGCAAUUGCGUGAUCUCGGUUCACUGCAAAUUCUGCCUCCUGGGUUCAAGAAAUUCUUGUGCCUCAGCCUCCCAAGUAGCUGGGAUUACAGGUGCCUGCCACCAUACCUGGUUAAUUUUUGUAUUUUUAGUAGAGAUGAUGUUUCACUAUGUUGCUCAGGCUGGUCUCGAACUCUUGACCUCAGGUGAUCUUUCCGCCUCGGCCUCUGAAAGUACUGGGGUAUAGGUGUGAGCCACCAUGCCGGGCCUAAUCAUCUAUUCUUUACUUCCACUUCAUAGUGCGUAUGUUGAACAGAGACUGGUACAGCUGUUAACAUGCCAACAGACCACUUCAUUCAAUUCACUGGCUUGUUGGUGAUUCACUUUGUAGACCUGAACUGACCAAUAUGGUAGCCCCUUGAAAUGUGGCUUCUCUGAAUUGAGAUGUACUAUAAGUUUAAAAUGUACACUGUGUUUCAAAGCCUUAAUAUGUAAAAAGAAUGUAAAAUAUUUCAUUAAUAAUUUUUAUAUUGAUUAUACAUUGAAAGAUAAUACUUUGGAUAUAGUGUAUUAAAUUAAAUACAUUAUUAAAAUUGGC